AUGGCCUCCUUCCCCCCCUCCUCUGGGCAUGGGAGGACCCGUGAGCUUCGUUGGCGAGAUGCCAGCCCGACCGGCUCCCCUGCCUCGGCCCGCCCUGCUUCCUAUGCCCAGGCGGCAGCCUCGCCCCCGUCGCCUUCUCCUCCGGCCGCCCGUCCGUGCCCACACUCCGAGAUCCACCGCGUCUAUCCGGUGGAGGAGCCUGUGGAUCUGCUGGCGGAUGCAGGCUGGACCGAUGUCCGCGGCCGUGGUCGUGACCGCCGUCCCCGCCUGCGCCCGCGUCCUCCUCGCCGCGACCGGGCCGCUCCCCACCGGGACCCUGCCUCCCCGUGGCCCGCGGAGUGCCCGCGCUGCCUCAGCCCCUCCCCCGACCACCGCCCUGCCGAGUGUCGGCGCGACGUGCGCUGCCGCCAUUAUGGCCACGUCGCUCGGUUCUGCUCCGCUCCGCGCGCCCACUCCUCUGGUUCGCCGCCCCACAAGCGGUUGCACCCCCGCUCCCCUGGGUCGUCUGCGGCGAGCGUCGCCGGACCAUGCGGCCCUGCGUCCUCCUGGGCUCGGUCCGUGCCGUCCUCGCUUGCGGCCUCGGCGUCCGCCUCUCCGCCCGUGGCCUCGCCGCGCGCCUCCCCGCCGACUUCGGAGUCCCCCCCCAUCCCCCCCGCGGUUCGGUCUGGUCCAUCCUCUGCCACAGCCUCGCCGCUGUCCGGCCAUCCAUCCCUGCGCCCCGCGGCGGCGGUCUGUUACCUCCCGUGGUGCGAUGAGAUGGCGGAGGCUGAGUUGGAGCUGCAGUCUGCGCUUGUGGCUACGGUGGACGGCAACCGCGGCGGCAUCUCUGUCAAGAUCACCGCGGCGCUCCUGGAGUGGUUUGGCCUCCAGCGUCACGCGUUCUCCGUGAACCGCCACUAUCCCGACGACUUCCUCGUCCGUUUCCGGUCUUUGGAGGACCGUGCUCAGGUGGCGGCCAGCAGCCUCCGCUCCCCCCGCUUUCGCCUGAUGUUCAGCCCCUGGAGCCACCUCGCCGGCGAUGAGCCGGUGACCGCACAUUUCCGUGUGCGCAUCUCGAUCCGCGGUAUCCCAGAUCAUGCCUGGUCCCGUUCUUCUGCGGAAUUCCUCCUGGCCCCCUUCUGCCUCAUUGAGGACCUGGCGCCUGAGACGAGCUCCGGCCAGGACAUGUCGGAAUUCCGCCUGUUCGCUUGGACCGCCAAUCCUGACAGCAUCCCGCGCAUGUCCGAGCUCCUCUUGCCGGCGCGCGACGGGAUUGAUCACCGCGCCGACCCAGACCGCGUCUUCCGGUUCGCGCGCCCGCUCCUCCGCUUCCCGGUUUCCAUCCACGUCGACGAGACUGAAGAUUACCGCCUCCCGGGCCCGCCUUCGCCGCCCGACGUUGAUCUGGACGCCCCGGACCGUGGCUCUCCUCCGGAGGCCGAGCGCGCCGUGGCAGAGGAGCGUGAGCGAGCAGCUGUAGCAACAGCUGCUGCGGCAGCAAGGGUGUCAAGGCUGGCUGCAGCGGAGCUGGCAGCAGCCAGGGCGGAGGUAGAAGCAGCAGCAGCAGCAGACGCAGCACGUGAGGCUACGGCGGAUGCCAAGGUACUCCGCGGCGGCUCCGGCAGCUCCAACAGCUCCACGCCUGCGAACGACGGCGCUGACGCAGACCGCGCCAAAGUGGCGCAAGAGCGGACGACGCAGUGGGCAGCCGAGCACGCCCGCGCUCCAGGUGGAGAUGCGCACCGCGACGGCGGCUGCAACGACCAGGACCGCGGCCUCUACGAGGUCCGGACUGUGGUCAGGGAUGUUGGUCCCAGUGUCGGGUGGCCUACCCUCACUAAAACCAACUACGUCGAGUGGGCCAGGAUCAUGAAGAUCAGGCUCCAGGUGCGGCGCAUGUGGGAGGCAGUCCAGGACAGCAACGUCGACCACCAGGAGGACCGACGGGCGCUGGACGCCCUCAUCGCCGCAAAGUUGGUGAAGUUUGGUGAUGCCACCUACACCGAGGAGAGAGCUGUCGAGAAGCUUUUUCGGUGCAUCCCCGAGAAGUACAAGCAGAUGGCUCGGUCGAUCGAGUCUUUGCUGGACCUCUCCACGAUGAUAAUCGAGGAGGCGAUAGGUCGCCUCAAGGUCGUCGACACCAACGAGCCACAGCCUUCCUCGGGGCCCAUCACCAACGGCGGGAAGCUGCUCCUAACUCGGGAGUCGUGGGAAGCCAGCCUUGGUGACAGGAAGAAGGGGGAGCCUUCUUCCACGACGGGCGGCCGCAAGCGUGGCAAGCAGCACACCAGAACGGUGCAGCUCCUGGUGGACAGCAAGUCUGCCCUGGCCCUAGCAAAGAACCCCAUGUUCCACGAACGGAGCAAGCACAUCCGACUGAGGUAUCACUUCAUCCGCAGCUGUGUGGAAGAAGGGAGCAUCGAGGUGAGCUACAUCAACACCACGGACCAGCUCGCAGACCUGCUCACCAAGCCUCUUGGGAGGGUCAAGUUCCUCGAGCUUUGCUCCAGGAUCGGGAUGAUUCAACUCUCCCACAAGACGACGUACAAGACUUAG
Molecule: ribosomal RNA, 2535 nt
Filed under: Triticum aestivum (bread wheat)
Lineage: Eukaryota; Viridiplantae; Streptophyta; Magnoliopsida; Poales; Poaceae
Description: partial small subunit ribosomal RNA
Source: RNAcentral